Bufo gargarizans (Asiatic toad) is the source of this 158-nucleotide long non-coding RNA. RefSeq lists it as uncharacterized. Lineage: Eukaryota; Metazoa; Chordata; Amphibia; Anura; Bufonidae. The transcript is spliced from 2 exons. The record is from RefSeq and is a predicted model, not a curated record.
CCUUAUAUUGUUACUUCCCAAAACUAAAAUAAUAUACAUAGUUAUAUUAUUAUAGAGAAUUUCCAGUUAGUCAAUUCAGGGCAGCAACCCGGACCGGUAAGUUGUAUUCCGACAGUCAUCGGAAGAAGAAGAAAGAUGUUGCGUCCAGUUUCCCAGUU